RNAcentral lists this small nuclear RNA (20 nucleotides) under Arabidopsis thaliana (thale cress). Its description in RNAcentral is "snRNA_08223". Lineage: Eukaryota; Viridiplantae; Streptophyta; Magnoliopsida; Brassicales; Brassicaceae. The record is from RNAcentral.
GAAGCGACGCAUGCGCCCGC